CCAAUAGCGUAUAUUAAAGUUGUUGCAGUUAAAAAGCUCGUAGUUGAAUUUUGGGGUCUGUCCAUUGGUCGGGCUUCACGGUCCGUACUGGUGAGAUGGGUUCCUACCUUCUGAAUAACUAGCAUGCCAUUUAGUUGGUGCGUUGGGGAAGCAGAGCUAUUACCUUGAAAAAAUUAGAGUGCUUAAAGCAGGCUAGUGCUUGAAUAGAUUAGCAUGGAAUAAUAAAAUAGGACGGCAUGGUUCUAUUUUGUUGGUUUCUAGGAUCACCGUAAUGCUUAAUAGGGAUAUUUGGGGGCGUUAGUAUUCANNUGUCAGAGGUGAAAUUCUUGGAUUUAUUGAANNNUAACUUCUGCGAAAGCAUUUGCCAAGGAUGUUUUCAUUAAUCAAGAACGAAAGUUAGGGGAUCGAAGACGACCAGAUACCGUCGUAGUCUUAACCAUAAACUAUGCCGACUAGGGAUCGGACGAUGUUAAUUUUUUAAUGACUCGUUCGGCGCCUUACG
This 502-nucleotide ribosomal RNA is filed under the name uncultured Glomeromycotina. Its description in RNAcentral is "partial small subunit ribosomal RNA". It matches the Rfam family "Eukaryotic small subunit ribosomal RNA", at positions 591 to 1092 of the family's 1831-position model. The record is from RNAcentral. Lineage: Eukaryota; Fungi; Glomeromycota.